CCCUGGUUAGCUCAGUUGGUAGAGCGCUCCACUUGUAAUGGAGAGGUCCCGGGUUCGAUUCCCGGACCAGGUGGA
RNAcentral lists this transfer RNA (75 nucleotides) under Ixodes scapularis (black-legged tick). Its description in RNAcentral is "tRNA-Thr". It matches the Rfam family "tRNA". Rfam says of the family: Transfer RNA (tRNA) molecules are approximately 80 nucleotides in length. Their secondary structure includes four short double-helical elements and three loops (D, anti-codon, and T loops). Lineage: Eukaryota; Metazoa; Arthropoda; Arachnida; Ixodida; Ixodidae. The record is from RNAcentral.